This 1203-nucleotide ribosomal RNA is filed under the name uncultured bacterium. RNAcentral describes it as "bacterial SSU rRNA". It matches the Rfam family "Bacterial small subunit ribosomal RNA", at positions 85 to 1306 of the family's 1533-position model. The record is from RNAcentral.
GAAUGGAUUAGUGGCGAACGGGUGAGGAACACGUGAGAAACCUGCCUUUCAUUCUGGGAUAACACCGGGAAACCGGUGCUAAUACCGGAUACUCCGUCUUGGUGGUAUCGCCGAGCCGGGAAAAAGAUUUGAUGAAAGAUGGUCUCGCGGCCUAUCAGCUAGUUGGUGAGGUAAUGGCUCACCAAGGCGACGACGGGUAGCCGGCCUGAGAGGGCGACCGGCCACACUGGGACUGAGACACGGCCCAGACUCCUACGGGAGGCAGCAGUAGGGAAUAUUGGGCAAUGGGCGCAAGCCUGACCCAGCGACGCCGCGUGAGGGAUGAAGGUCUUCGGAUUGUAAACCUCUUUCAGUAGGGAAGAAGCGAAAGUGACGGUACCUAAAGAAGAAGCACCGGCUAACUAUGUGCCAGCAGCCGCGGUAAUACAUAGGGUGCAAGCGUUGUCCGGAAUUAUUGGGCGUAAAGAGCUCGUAGGUCGUUUGUCGCGUCGAUUGUGAAAAUCUGAGGCUCAACCUCAGACCUGCAGUCGAUACGGGCAAACUAGAGUGUGGUAGGGGAGACUGGAAUUCCUGGUGUAGCGGUGGAAUGCGCAGAUAUCAGGAGGAACACCAAUGGCGAAGGCAGGUCUCUGGGCCAUAACUGACACUGAGGAGCGAAAGUGCGGGGAGCGAACAGGAUUAGAUACCCUGGUAGUCCGCACCGUAAACGGUGGGCACUAGUUGUGGGAACCUUCCACGGUUUCCGCGACGCAGCAAACGCAUUAAGUGCCCCGCCUGGGGAGUACGAUCGCAAGAUUAAAACUCAAAGGAAUUGACGGGGCCCCGCACAAGCAGCGGAGCAUGCGGCUUAAUUCGACGCAACGCGAAGAACCUUACCAAGGCUUGACAUAUAGCGAAAAGUGGCAGAGAUGUCAUGUCCGCAAGGGCGCUAUACAGGUGGUGCAUGGUUGUCGUCAGCUCGUGUCGUGAGAUGUUGGGUUAAGUCCCGCAACGAGCGCAACCCUCGUUCUGUGUUACCAGCAUUUAGUUGGGGACUCACAGGAGACUGCCGGGGUCAACUCGGAGGAAGGUGGGGAUGACGUCAAAUCAUCAUGCCCCUUAUGUCUUGGGCUGCACGCAUGCUACAAUGGCCGGUACAAAGUGCUGCGAGAUCGUAAGAUUGAGCGAAUCACAUAAAGCCGGUCUCAGUUCGGAUUGAGGUCU